RNAcentral lists this ribosomal RNA (429 nucleotides) under Chloroflexota bacterium. Its description in RNAcentral is "Chloroflexi bacterium partial 16S ribosomal RNA". It matches the Rfam family "Bacterial small subunit ribosomal RNA", at positions 355 to 776 of the family's 1533-position model. Lineage: Bacteria; Bacillati; Chloroflexota. The record is from RNAcentral.
UGGGGAAUAUUGCACAAUUGGCGCAAGCCUGAUGCAGCCAUGCCGCGUGUGUGAAGAAGGCCUUCGGGUUGUAAAGUACUUUCAGCGGGGAGGAAGGGAGUAAAGUUAAUACCUUUGCCCAUUGACGUUACCCGCAGAAGAAGCACCGGCUAACUCCGUGCCAGCAGCCGCGGUAAUACGGAGGGUGCAAGCGUUAAUCGGAAUUACUGGGCGUAAAGCGCACGCAGGCGGUUUGUUAAGUCAAAUGUGAAAUCCCCGGGCUCAACCUGGGAACUGCAUCUGAUACUGGCAAGCUUGAGUCUCGUAGAGGGGGGUAGAAUUCCAGGUGUAGCGGUGAAAUGCGUGGGGGUCUGGAGGAAGACCGGUGGCGAAGGCGGCCCCCUGGACGAAGACUGACGCUCAGGUGCGAAAGCAUGGGGAGCAAACAGG